UACGGAAGGCAGCAGUGGGGAAUAUUGCACAAUGGGCGCAAGCCUGAUGCAGCCAUGCCGCGUGUAUGAAGAAGGCCUUCGGGUUGUAAAGUACUUUCAGUCGUGAGGAAGGUGUUAAGGUUAAUAACCUUAGCAAUUGACGUUAGCGACAGAAGAAGCACCGGCUAACUCCGUGCCAGCAGCCGCGGUAAUACGGAGGGUGCGAGCGUUAAUCGGAAUUACUGGGCGUAAAGGGCACGCAGGCGGUUAAUUAAGUUGGAUGUGAAAUCCCCGGGCUUAACCUGGGAAUGGCAUUCAAGACUGGUUAGCUAGAGUCUUGUAGAGGGGGUAGAAUUCCAUGUGUAGCGGUGAAAUGCGUAGAGAUGUGGAGGAAUACCGGUGGCGAAGGCGGCCCCUGGGACAAAGGCUGACGCUCAUGUGCGAAAGCGUGGGGAGCAAACGAGGGAUUAGA
RNAcentral lists this ribosomal RNA (451 nucleotides) under uncultured bacterium. RNAcentral's name for it is "bacterial SSU rRNA". It matches the Rfam family "Bacterial small subunit ribosomal RNA", at positions 340 to 782 of the family's 1533-position model. The record is from RNAcentral.